Lontra canadensis (Northern American river otter) is the source of this 260-nucleotide long non-coding RNA. RefSeq lists it as uncharacterized. The record is from RefSeq and is a predicted model, not a curated record. The transcript is spliced from 3 exons. Lineage: Eukaryota; Metazoa; Chordata; Mammalia; Carnivora; Mustelidae.
CUCCUGAGCUCUGACACUUUCCUAUACGCGCUCUGCUAAUCAAUUCACCAGCAUGAAGGUCUUGGCGAUGCUGGUACUGGUGGCAGUUUCCACUUUCCUGGUCUCAGGCCAGACUACAACUGAUGCUUCAUCUGAUAGCUCUACUGCUCCAGCUGAUGAUAUCACUGAUAUUGCCACUGAUUAUAAUGAAGUCACCGAAGACAGUGACAUUGAUGAGGACACCACUGAAGCUUCUGACACUGGGACCAGCAUUGGUGGCC